RNAcentral lists this ribosomal RNA (449 nucleotides) under uncultured bacterium. Its description in RNAcentral is "partial 16S ribosomal RNA". It matches the Rfam family "Bacterial small subunit ribosomal RNA", at positions 29 to 523 of the family's 1533-position model. The record is from RNAcentral.
AACGAACGCUGGCGGCAUGCCUAACACAUGCAAGUCGAACGAGACCUUCGGGUCUCGUGGCGCACGGGUGCGUAACGCGUGGGAAUCUACCCUUGGGUUCGGAAUAACAGUCAGAAAUGACUGCUAAUACCGGAUGAUGCCGUAAGUCCAAAGAUUUAUCGCCCAAGGAUGGGCCCGCGUAAGAUUAGCUUGUUGGUGGGGUAAUGGCCUACCAAGGCGACGAUCUUUAGCUGGUCUGAGAGGAUGAUCAGCCACACUGGGACUGAGACACGGCCCAGACUCCUACGGGAGGCAGCAGUGGGGAAUAUUGGACAAUGGGCGAAAGCCUGAUCCAGCAAUGCCGCGUGAGUGAUGAAGGCCUUAGGGUUGUAAAGCUCUUUUACCAGGGAUGAUAAUGACAGUACCUGGAGAAUAAGCUCCGGCUAACUCCGUGCCAGCCGCCGCCGUAA